Molecule: ribosomal RNA, 587 nt
Filed under: uncultured bacterium
Lineage: Bacteria
Description: bacterial SSU rRNA
Rfam family: Bacterial small subunit ribosomal RNA
Source: RNAcentral
CCUACGAGAGGCAGCAGUAGGGAAUCUUCCACAAUGGGCGAAAGCCUGAUGGAGCAACGCCGCGUGAGUGAUGAAGGCCUUCGGGUUGUAAAACUCUGUCAUUCGGGACGAACCGGAGUCUGAGGAAAUGCAGACUCUCUGACGGUACCGGAGGAGGAAGCCCCGGCUAACUACGUGCCAGCAGCCGCGGUAAUACGUAGGGGGCAAGCGUUGUCCGGAUUCACUGGGCGUAAAGCGCGCGCAGGCGGUGAUGUAAGUCUGAGGUGAAAACCCGAAGCUCAACUUCGGGACUGCCUUGGAUACUGCGUCACUUGAGGAUAGGAGAGGCAAGGGGAAUUCCACGUGUAGCGGUGAAAUGCGUAGAGAUGUGGAGGAACACCUGUGGCGAAGGCGCCUUGCUGGCCUAUUUCUGACGCUGAGGCGCGAAAGCGUGGGGAGCAAACAGGAUUAGAUACCCUGGUAGUCCACGCUGUAAACGAUGAGUGCUAGGUGUAGGUGGGCUCAUACCCAUCUGUGCCGAAGCUAACGCAUUAAGCACUCCGCCUGGGGAGUACGGUCGCAAGACUGAAACUUAAAUGAAUUGACGG